Molecule: long non-coding RNA, 1110 nt
Organism: Salvia miltiorrhiza (redroot sage)
Lineage: Eukaryota; Viridiplantae; Streptophyta; Magnoliopsida; Lamiales; Lamiaceae
Exons: 4
Source: RefSeq, a predicted model, not a curated record
ACCCACCGCUGCGAUCUGCCUAUGACCCCCAUCGCAAUUCGUUGCGCCGGCACCCAUCCUCUUCUCUCCCGUCUUCAACCCUCCACCCACAGCCCCAAUCUGCCCAACCGUGCCCGGCCCCGCCCACCGCCGCGAUCUGCCUCGCCGUCUCCUUCCCUCUACCCACUGUGUCUGGCCCCCGCAACGAUCUGCCCCACCGCGCCCCGCCCCUUCCACCGCCAUGAUCAGGUUCACCGGCUCUUCCUUCCCCCACCGCGAUUCGUCGUCCAGCCUCAAGUGACUCUCUCAUUUCCCUGCCGCGGCGAUUUGAAAGCACCCUCAUCGAUUCUCUGACCUUCCCCUCCCCUCUCAUCGAUUAUCUGACCUUCCCCUCCCCGCCGCCAUUAGCCAUGGAAACAAAUUGAAUGUGUUAGUCAACCAUGGAUUCGCCUCGCCGGCACCCACCGCGAAUCGCCGCCCCCUAGAUCCCCAAAUCCUCACCGCCUCUUUGCGAUUUUCGGCAACCACGACAGCCAUGGCCGCCGAUCUACCCCUCCCACCACCAGAAAACCAGAAAUUGAUCUGCCACCUCCCUUCCCCCAUAUGAUUUUUGGUUCUAGGUGCCUGGUCCAGAACCGCCGCUCGCCAGCCGCUGUGUUGCAGUCGCCCACUCCUAUUCUCACUUCAACUCUUGCGUUGUGGAGCCAUUUUACAUUGCAUUAGAGGUAAACAUAGAAAGUCUUUGCCUAUCCUUAAUUGUUAAUGGUGCUUAGGUUCAACAAGUGAGUGCUCUUCUUGAAUCCUGACUCAAUUUGGUGGCUAUGUGUAGAUUAGUUGCUUUGCAUGUUGAAAUUGUAAUGAUUCUAAAUUUUUUUUGUAGGAUUUUAUUAUUCCAGAUUUGCUUAUCACCGUUUUGGUUUAUUUUACUGGUGUAAAUCAGAGUUCAAUUCAUCCAGGACUGAAUCGAAUACUUGCAUUGCUCUGUUGAUACUGUAUCAAUUUUAUUGCAUCAUACAGGACUAAGACUGUGCAUGUUAGGCUUGAUUUGUCAACAGAACCUUCUUCGUUUGUUUUUGUAGAUGUUAAAUUGUCUCUUACUGUAUUAGGACUUAUGAGGUUUUUCAUUUUUAU